ACUCCUACGGGAGGCAGCAGUGGGGAAUAUUGCACAAUGGGCGCAAGCCUGAUGCAGGCAACGCCGUGUGAGUGAAGAAGGUUUUCGGAUCGUAAAACUCUGUCCUAAGGGAAGAAAAAAUGACGGUACCUUAGGAGGAACGCCCCGGCUAACUACGUGCCAGCAGCCGCGGUAAUACGUAGGGGGCAAGCGUUAUCCGGAAUCACUGGGCGUAAAGGGUGCGUAGGCGGCUUGACAAGCCAGGGGUGAAAGGCAUUGGCUCAACCAAUGUAAGCCCUUUGGAACUGUUAAGCUUGAGUGCAGGAGAGGUAAGUGGAAUUCCUAGUGUAGAGGUGAAAUUCGUAGAUAUUAGGAGGAACACCAGUGGCGAAGGCGACUUACUGGACUGUAACUGACGCUGAUGCACGAAAGCGU
Molecule: ribosomal RNA, 414 nt
Filed under: uncultured bacterium
Lineage: Bacteria
Description: bacterial SSU rRNA
Rfam family: Bacterial small subunit ribosomal RNA
Source: RNAcentral